This 856-nucleotide ribosomal RNA is filed under the name uncultured bacterium. RNAcentral's name for it is "SSU rRNA". It matches the Rfam family "Bacterial small subunit ribosomal RNA", at positions 524 to 1381 of the family's 1533-position model. The record is from RNAcentral.
UACGAAGGGACCUAGCGUAGUUCGGAAUUACUGGGCUUAAAGAGUUCGUAGGUGGUUGAAAAAGUUGGUGGUGAAAUCCCAGAGCUUAACUCUGGAACUGCCAUCAAGACUUUUCAGCUAGAGUAUGAUAGAGGAAAGCAGAAUUUCUAGUGUAGAGGUGAAAUUCGUAGAUAUUAGAAAGAAUACCAAUUGCGAAGGCAGCUUUCUGGAUCAUUACUGACACUGAGGAACGAAAGCAUGGGUAGCGAAGAGGAUUAGAUACCCUCGUAGUCCAUGCCGUAAACGAUGUGUGUUAGACGUUGGAAAUUUAUUUUCAGUGUCGCAGCGAAAGCGAUAAACACACCGCCUGGGGAGUACGACCGCAAGGUUAAAACUCAAAUGAAUUGACGGGGACCCGCACAAGUAGUGGAGCAUGUGGUUUAAUUCGAAGAUACGCGCAGAACCUUACCAACACUUGACAUGUUCGUCGCGACUCUAAGAGAUUAGAGUUUUCGGUUCGGCCGGACGAAACACAGGUGCUGCAUGGCUGUCGUCAGCUCGUGUCGUGAGAUGUUGGGUUAAGUCCCGCAACGAGCGCAACCCUCACUUUUAGUUGCCAUCAUUAAGUUGGGCACUCUGAAAGAACUGCCAGUGAUAAGCUGGAGGAAGGUGGGGAUGACGUCAAGUCCUCAUGGCCCUUACGUGUUGGGCUACACACGUGCUACAAUGGUAUCUACAACAGGAAGCAAGACUGCGAAGUUAAGCAAAUCCCUAAAAGAUACCUCAGUUCGGAUUGCACUCUGCAACUCGAGUGCAUGAAGCUGGAAUUACUAGUAAUCGUGGAUCAGCGUGCCACGGUGAAUGCGUUCCCGGGUCU